RNAcentral lists this small RNA (77 nucleotides) under Rahnella sp. BIGb0236. RNAcentral's name for it is "sroB RNA". It matches the Rfam family "sroB RNA". The record is from RNAcentral. Lineage: Bacteria; Pseudomonadati; Pseudomonadota; Gammaproteobacteria; Enterobacterales; Yersiniaceae.
GGGCUGGCACUGAAGCUAUAACUAAUAAAAUGAAAUUCCUCUUUGACUGGCCGGCCUUAAAAACCGGCCAUUUUUUU